This 4304-nucleotide long non-coding RNA is filed under the name Paramuricea clavata. The record is from RNAcentral. Lineage: Eukaryota; Metazoa; Cnidaria; Anthozoa; Malacalcyonacea; Plexauridae.
UCUGAAACGAACUGUUCAUUGAUUCCUUUGGCAUACGUCUACACGUAAAUCUCACGAAAAUAAAUCUAUAAACACAAAUAUUGGACAAGCGGCUUCGCUAAAUAUGGUGGGGUUCUUUAGAGCCGUGUUUAUUCUUGUCUCCUGUCAAGUUUUCGUGUGGAAAUGCUCAGCUGAACUACCCGAAUGUGGGAACGUAUGUAUUAUUAUAUAAAUCUAAAUCUUUGUUUGUUAAACACGGUUCAAAAUGGUUAAGACAAUGUGGGGUUUCGUCGAGUGAAGGCCUUUCUUUACCAAGCUGGUAGAUGUUUUAUUCAUCAAGUAUGUUUUGAUCGAAUUUGUGGCGGUGUAAAGUCUCUUUCAGUCGUCUUUCAAUGCAAAGUCUUAAUUUCAGGCAGAAAUUUGAUGAGUGUCAUACGCCUACCACACAGACAUAUAAAUAACUCACGCGGCUGACAACCAGAGCAAACAUCAUCGGCAUAGCUUCAGCUAUAGUUUCUAACGAAAGGCCUUUGCUUGAAUGCCAUGUACAGCUUACUUAAUAAAUCAAGUUGUUUAAGAAAACACCCAAGUACAUCGACACCAGCUUAUUGUAGGCAUUAUUUAUACUAUAAUUGUACACGUAUAUUAGAUCAGUUGCUCACGAGCGGUAUGUCAACAUUUCCGUCAUGUCUGACCCACGAUAGCCAAGUGUAAUUCUAUUUCAGAAACGUCCUGAGAGAUAUGAAAACUAAUCUCGUAUUAAUUCCGACACUGCCACUGGCCUGAGAUAUCGGCUAUGGCUGCGACGGGAAUUGUGAGUUCGAAUUAUCGAAUUCCCCUCCGGCUAAGAUUAUAUAUAGAAUCCGAAAUUUUCGUUGUGAUUCCACAGCCGUCAGAAAUUCAGAAUAAAUAUGAAUUAGCCUGGGUAGCCGGGCUUCGUGUAUAGUUCGAUCACUGAUAGAAAUACACGUCUCCCGAUCUACUUCAGUAUUAAACAUGAAAUUAAGCUAUAAAACCCCAGUCAAGUCACACAUUCGGUUUCGUCAAGUCACGCAUUUCAAGCUCUAGAUUAACAAAAAACUUGAUAAAGGUUUGACUCGGCUUGACGAAUGUUCCAACUACCGACACGUAAAAAUCUCACAUCUUGUAGCAAGUCAGCCAACAAGCCGUCAACAAGUUCUGUUCGCACUGCUUGUCCCAACUGAGUUGUCAAUAAGUAUGGAACAACUUGUUUAUAACACUUGUAACACUGUCAGACUUGUAGCAAGGUUGUUCCAAAAAGUAUGAUACAAUUAUGAUAUAGCAAUAUUGUAUACAAGUUGUCAACAGCUUGUAACAAGCUUGUUGAUACUAUCAGACUUGUACCAAGGUUGUUCCAACAACUCUGAUACAGUUAUGAUAUAACAAUAUUGUACACAACUUGUUAACAGCUUGUAACAAGCGUGUUGAUAUUAUCAGACUUGUAGCAAGGUUGUUCCAACAAAUCUGAUACAGUCAUGAUAUAACAAUAUUGUACAAGUUGUUUAAACAGCUUGUAAGAAGCUUGUUGAUAUUAUCAGACUUGUAACAAGGUUGUUCCAACAAAUCUGACACAGUCAUGAUAUAACAAUAGUGUACAAGUUGAUUAAACAGCUUGUAACAAGCUUGUUGAUAUUAUCAGACUUGUAGCAAGGUUGUUCCAACAAGUCCGAUACAGUCAUGAUAUAACAAUAUGGUAUACAAGUUGUUAACAACUUGUAACAAGCUUGUUGUUAUUAUCAGACUUGUAGCAAGGUUGUCCCAACAAGUCUGAUACAGUCAUGAUAUAGCAAUAUUGUAUACAAGUUGUCAACAGCUUGUAACAAGCUUGUUGAUACUAUCAGACUUGUGAGCAAGGUUGUUACCAACAAGUCCGAUACAGUCAUGACAUAACAAUAUUGUAUACAAGUUGUUAACAACUUGUAACAAGCUUGUUGUUAUUAUCAGACUUGUAGCAAGGUUGUUCCAACAAGUCUGAUACAGUCAUGAUAUAACAAUAUUGUGCAAGUUGUUUAAACAGCUUGUAAAAGCUUUUUGAUAUAUUAUCAGACUUGUAGAAAGGUUGUUCCAACAAGUCUGAUACAGUAAUGUUAUAACAAUAUUGUACAAGUUGUUUAAACAGCUUGUAAAAGCUUUUUGAUAUUAUCAGACUUGUAGCAAGGUUGUUCCAACAAGUCUGAUACAGUCAUGAUAUAACAAUAUUGUACCAGUUGUUAACAGCUUGUAACAAGCUUUUUGAUAUUAUCAGACUUGUAGCAAGGUUGUUCCAACAAGUCUGAUACAGUCAUGAUAUAACAAUAUUGUACCAGUUGUUAACAGCUUGUAACAAGCUUUUUGAUAUUAUCAGACUAAUGUAGCAAGGUUGUUCCAACAAGGCUGAUACAGUCAUGAUAUAACAAUAUUGUACAAGUUGAUUAAACAGCUUGUAACAAGCUUGUUGAUAUUAUCAGACUUGUAGCAAAUUUUUUCCAACAAGGCUGAUACAGUCAUGAUAUAACAAUAUUGUACAAGAUGUUUAAACAGCUUGUAACAAGCUUGUUGAUAUUAUCAGACUUGUAACAAGGUUGUUUCAACAAGUCCGAUACAGUCAUGAUAUAACAAUAUUGUACAAGUUGUUAAAACAGCUAGUAACAAGCUUGUUGAUAUUAUCAGACUUGUAGCAAGGUUGUUCCAACAAGUCCGAUACAGUCAUGAUUUAACAAUAUUGUAUACAAGUUGUUAACAGCUUGCAACAAGCUUGUUGAUAUUAUCAGACUUGUAGCAAGGUUGUUCCAACAAGUCGGAUACAGUCAUGAUAUAACAAUAUUGUGUACAAGUUGUUAACAGCUUGUAAAAGCUUUUUGAUAUUAUCAGACUUGUAGCAAAGUUGUUCCAACAAGUCUGAUACAAUCAUGAUAUAACAAUAUUGUACCAGUUGUUAACAGCUUGUAAAUGCUUUUUGAUAUUAUCAGACUUGUGGCAAGGUUGUACCAACAAGUCCGAUACAGUCAUGAUAUAACAAUAUUGUUACAAUCUUGUGUCGAUCGUCAACCUUGUUACAUUCUUGUUUAUCAUGACUAUAUCAGACUUGUUACAACAAUCUUGUAACAAGUCUGAUAAUGCCAUCAAGCUUGUUACUAGUUGUUAACAGCUUGUUCCAAACUUGUUACAACAAUUGGGAACAAACAUUGCGAACACAACUUGCUGACAGCUUGUGAACAGAUUUUUAACGACUUGUGCGUUUUUACUUGUGUAUUCCAAAAAUCAAUUCCUUUUCUGCUUGGGGUACACAGGUAAAAACGCGCAAAUUGUUACAAGAUCUGCAAACAAGUUGUAAGAAGGUUGUUGGAAAGCCGAUAUCAAUAUGUAUUCGCGCUACUUUUUCCCAGUUGUUGUGGCAAAUCUGGGGCAAGUUGUUAUGAUCAUGUUACAAGUGAUGAGGGUAACGGACUUGCUGCAAGUUGUUCCAACAAGACUAAUACAGGCGUUCGUAACAAGUUGCUUCGAGCUUACUGUCAUCAACUUGUUACGUGCAGACGGUAUCAGACUUGUUGGAACAACUUUUUGCAUGCGAGUCUGUUUGCCUCAUCUACCUUGUUACAAGAUGAUAACAACUUGUCCCAGGCUUGUCAACAACUGGGAACAAGCAUUGCGAACACAUCUUGUUGACAAGCUGUGAAAUUUUUUCGCGUGUAGGACUUUAGGUGAUACAGUGCAUUUUUUAAGGAUUGUUCGGUGGUGGCGCAAAACUGCCAAAGAGCACAUUUUCCUUGCCCUCCCCCUAGGAUAGUAUGCGAUUGUUGAAGGUGUGAGGCGAGUGCCACAGGCACAAGUUCGCUAGGGAGAUCUAAGGGCAUGCCCCCUCCGCAGGAAAUUAUUAAAAUUUAGGUCUCUGAAAUAUCUUUUCCUGCAUUCUUAGAACGCAUUUUAAAAAAAUCUCAGCUUCUCAAAACAAAGUUUUAAUGGUGAAAUUUGUAAUAAUUGCACGCUAAACGUUCAAACACAACAUAAAUUUAAGUAUGCUCACCAACAUAUUUUGUUCUUUUCAAUGUUAAACUCAUUUACUCGAACAACUAGGGCCCUGACUUUGGGACAAUAGGCCAUUUUUUUCUUCAGUGGUGGGGCAGAGGAAGGGGCCCAGUGGGGAAAAUUACCCACCAGUCCCUGGUAUUAAAAAUGCCUGGAGGUGAUGAAUCUUAACGUGCAUUAUUAUAGGGAGAAUAUCAUUACGAAUACACAGAGUGUGGCUCUGAUGGUGGUAGAUGGCAUGUUCCAGUUCCUCACGAUGCAACUCAUUGUACCAUUAAGGCCAAACCACCAUUACACCA